GUGAGUAGAGCGGCGGACGGGUGAGUAAUGCUUGGGAAUCUGCCCAAUAGUGGGGGACAACAGUUGGAAACGACUGCUAAUACCGCAUACGCCCUACGGGGGAAAGGAGGGGAUCUUCGGACCUUCCGCUAUUGGAUGAGCCCGCGUCGGAUUAGCUAGUUGGUAGGGUAAAGGCCUACCAAGGCGACGAUCCGUAGCUGGUCUGAGAGGAUGAUCAGCCACACUGGAACUGAGACACGGUCCAGACUCC
Molecule: ribosomal RNA, 250 nt
Filed under: uncultured bacterium
Lineage: Bacteria
Description: partial 16S ribosomal RNA
Rfam family: Bacterial small subunit ribosomal RNA
Source: RNAcentral